Molecule: small RNA, 1155 nt
Filed under: Pongo abelii (Sumatran orangutan)
Lineage: Eukaryota; Metazoa; Chordata; Mammalia; Primates; Hominidae
Description: retained intron
Source: RNAcentral
GCCUAUCACAAUAUCAGAGAUAUUGACAAAGCCCUCUCCAUUUUUAAUGAGCUAAGGAAACAAGACCCUUACAGGAUUGAAAAUAUGGACACAUUCUCCAACCUUCUUUAUGUCAGGAGCAUGAAAUCGGAGUUGAGUUAUCUGGCUCAUAACCUCUGUGAGAUUGAUAAAUAUCGUGUAGAAACGUGCUGUGUAAUUGGCAAUUAUUACAGUUUACGUUCUCAGCAUGAGAAAGCAGCCUUAUAUUUCCAGAGAGCCCUGAAAUUAAAUCCUCGGUAUCUUGGUGCUUGGACACUGAUGGGACAUGAGUACAUGGAGAUGAAGAACACGUCUGCUGCUAUCCAGGCUUAUAGACAUGCCAUUGAGGUCAACAAACGAGACUACAGAGCUUGGUAUGGCCUUGGGCAGACCUAUGAAAUCCUUAAGAUGCCAUUUUACUGCCUUUAUUAUUAUAGACGGGCCCACCAGCUUCGGUAAGCCUGGUCACAUGACAAUGCGUCUGAUAUGGGAAGGGCUAAUAACUUUUUUUUCCUCUUUUGAUAGCUAUUGACAAAUCACAGUGGAUGGUUUUGACUCUUGGGGAUCUGAGUUUAAAGUUGCUAAAUGCUGUUUGGUGGGUUAAUAGUAUAAUUAUGAACACAAAGUAAUCUAUUAUAUGGAGCAUCAGGUUAAAGACCAGUUGUUGGCAUAGAUUUGAAAUAGUGGUGUACUGGUUCCUCAAGGGAGAACUUCAGUUUCUGUAAAAAGUCUUUGCUCAGACUGCCUGUUCUUCUUUCUCAGACCCAAUGAUUCUCGCAUGCUGGUUGCUUUAGGAGAAUGUUAUGAGAAACUCAAUCAACUAGUGGAAGCCAAAAAGUGUUAUUGGAGAGCUUACGCCGUGGGAGAUGUGGAGAAAAUGGCUCUGGUGAAACUGGCAAAGCUUCAUGAACAGUUGACUGAGUCAGAACAGGCUGCCCAGUGUUACAUCAAAUAUAUCCAAGAUAUCUAUUCCUGUGGGGUAUGUAUCAUACCAUGAGAAUUGUAUUGCUGAUAUUAUUACUGUCACCUCAGUCAUUUUGCUUUCCCUUUCUAGGAAAUAGUAGAACACUUGGAGGAAAGCACUGCUUUUCGCUAUCUGGCCCAGUACUAUUUUAAGUGCAAACUGUGGGAUGAAGC